RNAcentral lists this ribosomal RNA (466 nucleotides) under uncultured bacterium. RNAcentral describes it as "partial 16S ribosomal RNA". It matches the Rfam family "Bacterial small subunit ribosomal RNA", at positions 28 to 507 of the family's 1533-position model. The record is from RNAcentral.
GAUGAACGCUGGCGGCGUGCUUAACACAUGCAAGUCGAACGGAAAGGCCCAAGCUUGCUUGGGUACUCGAGUGGCGAACGGGUGAGUAACACGUGGGUGAUCUGCCCUGCACUUCGGGAUAAGCCUGGGAAACUGGGUCUAAUACCGGAUAGGACCACAUUUUGGAUGGUGUGGUGGAAAGUUUUUCGGUGUGGGAUGAGCUCGCGGCCUAUCAGCUUGUUGGUGGGGUAAUGGCCUACCAAGGCGUCGACGGGUAGCCGGCCUGAGAGGGUGUACGGCCACAUUGGGACUGAGAUACGGCCCAGACUCCUACGGGAGGCAGCAGUGGGGAAUAUUGCACAAUGGGCGCAAGCCUGAUGCAGCGACGCCGCGUGGGGGAUGACGGCCUUCGGGUUGUAAACUCCUUUCGCUAGGGACGAAGCGUUAUGUGACGGUACCUGGAGAAGAAGCACCGGCUAACUGCGUG